This 253-nucleotide ribosomal RNA is filed under the name uncultured bacterium. Its description in RNAcentral is "partial 16S ribosomal RNA". It matches the Rfam family "Bacterial small subunit ribosomal RNA", at positions 524 to 776 of the family's 1533-position model. The record is from RNAcentral.
UACGUAGGGUGCGAGCGUUGUCCGGAAUUACUGGGCGUAAAGAGCUCGUAGGUGGUUUGUCGCGUUGUUCGUGAAAACUCACAGCUUAACUGUGGGCGUGCGGGCGAUACGGGCAGACUGGAGUACUGCAGGGGAGACUGGAAUUCCUGGUGUAGCGGUGGAAUGCGCAGAUAUCAGGAGGAACACCGGUGGCGAAGGCGGGUCUCUGGGCUGAAACUGACGCUCAUGCACGAAAGCGUGGGGAGCAAACAGG